GACGAACGCUGGCGGCAUGCCUAAUACAUGCAAGUCGAGCGAACAGAUGAAGUGCUUGCACUUCUGACGUUAGCGGCGAACGGGUGAGUAACACGUAAGGAAUCUACCUAUAAGCGGGGGAUAACAUUCGGAAACGGGAGCUAAUACCGCAUAAUAUCUUCUUCCGCAUGGAAGAAGAUUGAAAGACGGCUCUGCUGUCACUUAUAGAUGAACUUGCGGUGCAUUAGUUAGUUGGUGGGGUAACGGCCUACCAAGACGACGAUGCAUAGCCGACCUGAGAGGGUGAUCGGCCACAUUGGAACUGAGACACGGCCCAGACUCCUACGGGAGGCAGCAGUAGGGAAUCUUCCGCAAUGGGCGAAAGCCUGACGGAGCAAUGCCGCGUGAGUGAAGAAGGUCUUCGGGUCGUAAAACUCUGUUAUAAGAGAAGAACAAAUUGUAGAGUAACUGCUACAGUCUUGACGGUAUCUUAUCAGAAAGCCACGGCUAACUACGUG
RNAcentral lists this ribosomal RNA (497 nucleotides) under uncultured bacterium. RNAcentral's name for it is "partial 16S ribosomal RNA". It matches the Rfam family "Bacterial small subunit ribosomal RNA", at positions 28 to 507 of the family's 1533-position model. The record is from RNAcentral.